CUCCUUGGAGAAGCUCUGGGGAGAAAACAGGAGGAGGGGGAUGCACAGAGAGCAAGAUUGUGGCCCUCCUGAGGUUCCCCUCCAAAUCUACCUCCCAUCUUGAGCUCAGGUUUUGCUUUACUUUUUUUUCCCAUCGUGUCCAGAGGUUUGGGGACCCUCCGGGAGCACAGUGAGCCCCAGGCAGCCCUGUGUCAGUGAACUUUGGGGUGCACACAGCAGGAAGAGGGUACCCAGGGCAGGCGGACAAACAUCCUGCAGUACGUCCGCGUGGAGCCAAAGGUGCUUUGGGGACAGAGGACAUGCAAUUUCCACCUCUGUUUUGGUGUAGAAGACAUCUGAAUCCCUAUGUUUGCAGGCAGCACCGUGCCUGGGUAAUAGUGGUGGUUUUAAUCCAUGUGUAGGUAGGUGCGUGUGUGAAGGUAUUGUCAGGCUGCAAGGUGCUGCUGGUCUUCCCUCAAGAAGUCUGUUCUGCUUGACUAUUCUUGCUGAUGUGCAGAAGUAACCUCUUUGCUCACUCUUUGUCACUUCUUGGGCCUUACUGCCCAUUUUUCUUCUUUCCGAAGGACACAUAAAGACUCCAGCUCUGGUGUGGAAGGGAUGAAGUCCUUGCCUUUCGAAAGUGAGCGGGAUGUCCCUGGUGCUGCGUUGGCUCCAUGCUGCUGGUGGAUGUGGCACCUGCUGGGCGCGGGCACAUUGCUGAGAGAUGUUGAUGGGCACAAAGCAUCGCCAGGAGCUGGGGAGGCGGCUCCUGACCACACACAGACAGGAGCCCUUCAUCAUUUGGGGGUUGGACCCGAUGAUCUCUCAAGGUCCCUUCCAACCCCUGCAGUUCUCUGAUUCUGUGAUUUCCAGCCCCAGCUGCCUCUCCCCAUGCGCUCGCUGAAUUGCACGGGACCCAGUUCUCUGUCAUGCAGCAGCACACAGAGCUCAGUUCCAGCAAACCAAGGACAACUGGGGGCAGUCCGGGUUUCCCAUAAGUUUCCAUUGAUGGUGCAAUUAAAAAAUAAAAACCCAGCCCUGGGCUUUUUUCAUGCUUUCCAAGUUUCCUAAAAGGAUCCAUCGCAGAGAAUGAAAAAAGCCCAGAUGGAGAG
Molecule: long non-coding RNA, 1091 nt
Filed under: Cairina moschata (Muscovy duck)
Lineage: Eukaryota; Metazoa; Chordata; Aves; Anseriformes; Anatidae
Description: domestica (muscovy Duck (domestic type)) lncRNA (ENSCMMG00000005560.1)
Source: RNAcentral